CGGGGCGUAGCGCAGUUUGGUAGCGCACCAGUUUCGGGUACUGGGGGUCGGCGGUUCGAGUCCGCCCGCCCCGACCA
This 77-nucleotide transfer RNA is filed under the name Hippea maritima DSM 10411. RNAcentral's name for it is "tRNA-Pro (CGG) (tRNA-Pro-CGG-1-1)". It matches the Rfam family "tRNA". Rfam says of the family: Transfer RNA (tRNA) molecules are approximately 80 nucleotides in length. The record is from RNAcentral. Lineage: Bacteria; Pseudomonadati; Campylobacterota; Desulfurellia; Desulfurellales; Hippeaceae.